RNAcentral lists this long non-coding RNA (472 nucleotides) under Brassica napus (rape). RNAcentral's name for it is "long non-coding RNA (BNAP_LNC019185)". Lineage: Eukaryota; Viridiplantae; Streptophyta; Magnoliopsida; Brassicales; Brassicaceae. The record is from RNAcentral.
UGGUGUUGGCGAUUUUUGUGGCUGACUCGGAAUCACUGGGCGUGGUGUACCCUCGCUAUCGCCCUGAGAAGGCAAUUCUGCUGCUGGUGUGGGGUCAUGAACGCCUUGAUGUUCCGGUGGAGAUGCUGCGGUUUCUCUCACACGGUUCCGAGUCCUCUUGGUUGGAUUCGACGAGGACCCACCGUCCAGACCACUGUCUCGCUUCCUCUUCUUCUCUGUGGUUUCACUCCUCUUCGCCGCUUCUCUCUUUUUCUUAAUGGCGGCUCUCCUUUUCGCUGCCGCUCCUUUUCUUCUUUUCACAUCGGCUUUCUUCUUCUUCUCCGACGCUUCCGUUUUUUCUUUCAUCUUGGCGAGCGAGUUUUUGGCGACAUUGCACACACGAAAUUGGAUACGAAAUUGGAGAUGGGGAUUGUUGUUUAGAGAUGAUUGUGCUUGAAUCUAAGUUUGAUUAGAGAUGGGAGUUUAAAAUCGU